Saccostrea cuccullata (small rock oyster) is the source of this 545-nucleotide long non-coding RNA. RefSeq lists it as uncharacterized. The record is from RefSeq and is a predicted model, not a curated record. The transcript has 3 exons. NCBI's taxonomy places the organism in Eukaryota, Metazoa, Mollusca, Bivalvia, Ostreida, Ostreidae.
CUCACUAGAAAAUCUAUAAGAUAUUCAUUGACGAAGAAAAAACUGCGUAGUAAGAAGUCAUGAUGCCGCGAGUAAAAACACUUGACACGUGAUCUGUAAAUAAAAUGAGCAGAUAAAAAGGUUAAAAUACGCAGUUUAUCGUUCAUUUGGAUUUAGAUUAAGUAAACUACUCAAAUAAUUGUACUCUUGAACGUGUGCACAAGAGUCACAAAAGAUCCCAAAUAAUCAGCUCAAACCUUAUAGGGUUAAUAAAGAGUUCUCAUCUCAAUUUUAAGAUUUUUUUGAACAACCACAAAAGACAGCAAAAUGAAGAUGUUUUGUGUGAAAUGUAAUAAAGAAACCGAAUGCGAUGUGGACCCCACGAUCCCGGAGACUGAUAACCCAAAAAGACAAAAUACAAUACGAGUUUCGGGAACUUGUAAGGAAUGUGGCUCCAAGACCUCCAAAAUUGUCGGUUAACGGAGAGAUUUCUUUAUAUCGGUUCAUAAUUUUAUUCCCCUCUGUAUCAGAGCAUGUUUUACUUUUUAUACGUAUUAAAUAUUAUG